UGCAACUCAUUUGGUGUCAUCCCUUGG
RNAcentral lists this non-coding RNA (27 nucleotides) under Rattus norvegicus (Norway rat). The record is from RNAcentral. Lineage: Eukaryota; Metazoa; Chordata; Mammalia; Rodentia; Muridae.